RNAcentral lists this ribosomal RNA (479 nucleotides) under Cryptosporidium sp. vole genotype II. RNAcentral describes it as "SSU rRNA". It matches the Rfam family "Eukaryotic small subunit ribosomal RNA", at positions 514 to 1024 of the family's 1831-position model. Lineage: Eukaryota; Apicomplexa; Conoidasida; Eucoccidiorida; Cryptosporidiidae. The record is from RNAcentral.
AUGAGUUAAGUAUAAACCCCUUUACAAGUAUCAAUUGGAGGGCAAGUCUGGUGCCAGCAGCCGCGGUAAUUCCAGCUCCAAUAGCGUAUAUUAAAGUUGUUGCAGUUAAAAAGCUCGUAGUUGGAUUUCUGUUAAUAAUUUAUAUAAUAUUUUAACGAUAUUAUAUAAUAUUAACAUAAUUCAUAUUACUAUUUGAAUAGUAUAUGAAAUUUUACUUUGAGAAAAUUAGAGUGCUUAAAGCAGGCAUUAGCCUUGAAUACUCCAGCAUGGAAUAAUAUAAAAGAUUUUUAUCUUUUUUAUUGGUUCUAAGAUAAAAAUAAUGAUUAAUAGGGACAGUUGGGGGCAUUUGUAUUUAACAGUCAGAGGUGAAAUUCUUAGAUUUGUUAAAGACAAACUAAUGCGAAAGCACUUGCCAAGGAUGUUUUCAUUAGUCAAGAACGAAAGUUAGGGGAUCGAAGACGAUCAGAUACCGUCGUAGU